This is a long non-coding RNA of Pelmatolapia mariae (spotted tilapia), 1992 nucleotides long. RefSeq lists it as uncharacterized. The record is from RefSeq and is a predicted model, not a curated record. Lineage: Eukaryota; Metazoa; Chordata; Actinopteri; Cichliformes; Cichlidae. The transcript has 9 exons.
UUUGAAGUGAGGCAUACUUCCCCGCCCCCCGACGCCCCUCGCGAUGUCCCUCCUUCUUCAACUAACCCUGUCCAGAGGAGCCGUGAGAGCCAGGAACUUAGCAGUCUGAUGAAGAGGCCUGACAGAUGAAAUAACUGAUCUUGCCUCUGCUGAGCCUCUGAGUUGGGACUCUUCUCCUGCUGUAAGAUGAAAGCGGAAGAAUCAUUUCUUCUGAGAAUUCAGACAUGUCCCCCCAACAAUGCCCAGGACAAGUCCCAGGAGGCUGGCUCACCUCCAUAUCCUCCAAGUACCAAAUUUGAAUUCUCCUUUGAGAAGGGUCUUAUGGCACAUUUGCAAAAUGUGUCAGAAUGGCUGAGAAAAAGGCUGUAGCCAUUAAAAUAAUGAAACAUGAGAACCCAAAGACCCAUUGGAAAACCAAGAGCUCACUGCCAUGUGAAAACGUUUCGCCUGUAACUCCAACAAACCAAAUAUAUUCUUGAGUUUGAAUAUCUUUAAAAAAGUCUUUUUGACUUCAUGAAAGGAAUACAUUUCAAACCGCUCAAUUAAAAGGCAAUUCGUCCCAUCGUCGUGCAGACUGGAAUAGUGCUUAAUCACCUCAAGUCUCUUGGAACAAUACACGCAGACCUGAAAUUGUAAAAUGUAAUGUUGGUGAAAUAUCACCAAGAGCCGUACUGAAUUAAAAUAAUUGACUUUGGCCUGGCCUGUGACACCUCAGCUGCCAAAGUGGGGCUCUUACAUUCAGACCUGUCCGUACUGGUCUCCGGAGAUUAUUCUGGGGCUUCCAUCUACAAAAGCCAUAGAUGUAUGGUCCCUGGGCUGCGUGGCUGUGAGUCUGUACACUGGUUCCUUGCUGUACCCUGGGUACAGUGAGUAUGCAAUGCUGAGAUACAUGAUGGAGACUCAAGGACAACCCCCAAAGAAAAUUUCAGACUGUCUUUUCAGACAUCUGAACUGUAUUUCCAAGAGUCUGGGAUUCAGUUUGUGGAGAAAAGAUGAAUAAAUCUCUGGAUGACCUCUUACAUCGUUAAGUCCUGCACAUUAACAGCUUUAAAAUAAAGAAGACAGGGAUGUCAGAUAGCGGGACAGAAGGGUGUGGGUCUCUGCACCAGCCCACCUCUGACACCAGACAACCUGCCCAACAGAACUCCCACCCUUGGCCUCCACCCUUCUUCUCAGAGGAGCAGCCUGAACCUCAUCAGGCCCAGUCACUAUAAAACUGCUCACACAUUUCCAAUAUUUCCAGUCAAAUCACACUUUAAAAGAAAACAUCUGGAAGAAGAUAAAAAGGAUACGAGUGAUCCAGAUCUUAAAAAAAAAAAAGAAAAAGAAGAAGGACUGAUUGGAAAGACAUGACCAGAAAAAUACCGUACCAACAUAAAAGGUCAGAUCAUGACCAGAAGAAAUGCCAUCAUUCUGCGGGUUCAUCUUGCUCAACCAGUGGCUACAGGACACAGAAUUCCAUCUUGGCGAGUAAGAGGAAGCCAGACCAAAACUGCUUUGACAGGUCAAAUGCAAGGGCCAAACUACGAAGAUGGCAAGAGCCACAUGUCCGUUAACACCUUCAAUCACAGUCGGGCUGGGGACCACCGCCGCAGAGAAGCAAAAGAAGGGCAAGCAGAGUAACACUUGAUUUUUCUUACAUGACGUGAGUGCCUCACUUAAUCUUACUUAAACAAAUUUAAAACUUUUGGCUAUUGAAAAACAUAGACUGUUAAAAUUCAUCUCAGCAGUAAUGAGGCCACUAAAACUGAAUCAGUGUGUAAUGUCACUAACAUUGUCAGACUAUAGGUUUCCCUGGUCCCUUUCUCAAUCUUGUAUUUCAGUGAUUCCACCACUCCAUAUCAUUAAUGUCUGUCUUCUCUUUCCAGUAGUUAUUUCUCAUCUCUAUACUCUCCUUUCUCUAUGCUUUCACUUGAUUGUCGGGGAUUUCUCCACCUUAUGGAGGGUUUUCAGCUUACAGUAUAAAGUUCCUUCAGGCGAGUUUUGUUGUGA